This 561-nucleotide small RNA is filed under the name Pan troglodytes (chimpanzee). RNAcentral's name for it is "retained intron". The record is from RNAcentral. Lineage: Eukaryota; Metazoa; Chordata; Mammalia; Primates; Hominidae.
UUAUUCUCAAAAAAUCCAAUGCAAAUAGCCUUCCAAACAUGGGACAAUAGGAUACAUUCAUUCCUUGUAACUGUGAUCUGACUGACAUUUUCAAUUCUUUGUAGGAUUCCAAAGCCUAUUUCCAUCUUCUCAAUCAAAUCGCACCAAAAGGACAAAAGGAAGGUGAACCACGGAUAGAUAUUAACAUGUCAGGUUUCAAUGAAACAGAUGAUUUGAAGAGAGCUGAGAGUAUGCUUCAACAAGCAGAUAAAUUAGGUUGCAGACAGUUUGUUACCCCUGCUGAUGUUGUCAGUGGAAACCCCAAACUCAACUUAGCUUUCGUGGCUAACCUGUUUAAUAAAUACCCGGCACUAACUAAGCCAGAGAACCAGGAUAUUGACUGGACUCUAUUAGAAGGAGAAACUCGUGAAGAAAGAACCUUCCGUAACUGGAUGAACUCUCUUGGUGUCAAUCCCCACGUAAACCAUCUCUAUGCUGACCUGCAAGAUGCCCUGGUAAUCUUACAGUUAUAUGAACGAAUUAAAGUUCCUGUUGACUGGAGUAAGGUUAAUAAACCUCCAU